This 478-nucleotide long non-coding RNA is filed under the name Sorghum bicolor (sorghum). RNAcentral's name for it is "long non-coding RNA (SBIC_LNC009630)". The record is from RNAcentral. Lineage: Eukaryota; Viridiplantae; Streptophyta; Magnoliopsida; Poales; Poaceae.
GAUCCAAAUAAUAGACACUAAAAUCUAAUGACCACAGUUAUAAUCAACACUCAAUCAUAAAUACAAAUAUUACACACAUAAUGCAAAAAAGAAAUAUUACAUCAACAAAGGAAUAAAUUUGCAUCAAUGUAACACUAAAAUUACAAUGAACAAACCACCGUAAAUAUAGAAAUAUAGCACUGUAAAUACUUUACAAGGAGAAUAUAAACACAUGAAAUUGAAGACCUGUUAUCUGAAUCCACGAGGAAAAAAAUAACAGCCUAGGCAUGGGUGCCUACUUGAGGUGCUUCAACAUCUCCUGGAAGAACUGCAUGUGCAUGUUGUGGUCACACCAGAGCACAGAUGUCUUCUCUCAGCGAAUCAAACAUUGAGUCCCUCGCAACAACAAAGGUACCAAAUGAUGAGCAAUCAGGGAUGUACACUUUGCAGCAGCAGUCAGAAUCACAUAAGAAACUAUGAAUUGAAAAAAAAUGACCCU